Non-coding RNA from Misgurnus anguillicaudatus (oriental weatherfish), 658 nucleotides. The record is from RefSeq and is a predicted model, not a curated record. NCBI's taxonomy places the organism in Eukaryota, Metazoa, Chordata, Actinopteri, Cypriniformes, Cobitidae.
UAUACAGCGUUCUGCUGAAGCUGGGCGGCCGGUACUGUAGAGCAUCGAAAAAAAGAAAAAAACUCUUUAACAUGGACCGGGCGUUCGGGAUUGCUCCCGGUAUUCCCGAUUGCCAGUCCGCCUCCACCUAAACUCUCCAGGACACCUGCCCUCCAGGACCGAAGUUGCCCAUCCCUGAUUUAGGGGGACAUAUAGCAAAUAUUACAGCAAACGCUGAACCGUGUUUUUGGAUGAUGCAGUUCAAGCAGAAGAUCAUCUCUUUCACUGUAAAUGAAAAGUUCAAUAUCCAGUCUGAGGUCCGACUGAGGAUCAUAUCACCUCCUUACAGCUGGCUCAUCAUAUUCUGCUGUUAUUAUCUGAAAACCACCACGGCUUUUUGUCAAACUUGUUUGUAGGAACUAAAGCAUCCCAAAACUGUGUUUAUAAAUAUCUGUACUUUUGUUAUACAUUGGUAAUGUGCUUUUUAGUUGUCUCGGAUGUUAAUAUAUGUCAAUUUAAUUAACACUUAAAUGCAUGAUACAUUGAGGACAAUUUUUCUGUCAUAAAUGUUGAUCAGAUGACAUUUAAAAAAAUCCUUGACAGUUUUAUAAUGAGAAUGAUAGAUGAUACUGCUGUAUUGUUACAUUUUAAAAAACAGUUUAUAAAUAAAGUUUUUUUC